This 305-nucleotide ribosomal RNA is filed under the name uncultured bacterium. RNAcentral's name for it is "bacterial SSU rRNA". It matches the Rfam family "Bacterial small subunit ribosomal RNA", at positions 335 to 659 of the family's 1533-position model. The record is from RNAcentral.
UGCCUACGGGACGCAGCAGUGGGGAAUAUUGCACAAUGGGGGAAACCCUGAUGCAGCGACGCCGCGUGAGUGAAGAAGUAUUUCGGUAUGUAAAGCUCUAUCCGCAGGGAAGAUAAUGACGGUACCUGACUAAGAAGCUCCGGCUAAAUACGUGCCAGCAGCCGCGGUAAUACGUAGGAUGCGAGCGUUAUCCGGAUUUAUUGGGUUUAAAGGGUGCGCAGGCGGACCAUCAAGUCAGCGGUAAAAUCGUGGGGCCCAACCCCAUCCCGCCGUUGAAACUGGCGGUCUUGAGUUAGCGAGGAGUU